UAGGCUAUCAUUACACAACCGUGGCUGGCUUCUGAGCUGUGCAACACCCUGCGGCACCUCGGCAGCAGCACGCCGGCCCGCGAGGCUCUCCAGCAAAGGAGUAACCCCACCAGCUGGCUGGGCGAGAGCCGCAUUUACCACCCGGGGGGGAGAAGGUGUGAGCAGGAGAGGCAACGUGGGGGCUCUGACAGGCAGGGGCAGCCCUGUUGGGAGCGCUCCCGAUGCCCCGAGCAACCUCUGGCAGCACGGGGGGACGGCAGCCUGCUCGCUGGCAUGGGGAGCUGCUCCUUAAUUGCUGUGGCGUUGUGCAAAUGCGGUGGGAAUUUCACAGAGGACAUAACGCAUCCUAAAACGAUUGUUUUUAUUCCUUGGAGGCAUUACCUUGGACUCCUGCUGGUGUGGAGCCCUUCCUCCUCCCGCUCUCAGAACUGCACCGCAGGGCACCGCUUGUGCUUGUGGCCCCCACCCACAGCUGCACCCUGACCCCCAGCGAGUAAUAGACUGUACCCUGCUUCCUGAGGUCAAAAUGCCGUGGGGAGGCAGGCCUGCAGCCGUGCUCUGAACAAGUGUAAGAGUGGCGCUGGCAGGCUGAGAAGCAGAGAAGCACACAGACUGCACGUUUCCUCAGGAUGUCUCAUCUCAGCAGCGGUGUCUCCUGCUGACGAUACGGGCAGGCUGCAAAGUGCCACCGUCUGUAUCUGCAUUUGGAGAAGCCCAUGACGGUCCACCUUCUGGGGGAGACAGAGCUGCCAUGUGAAGGAUAUGGGUAGCGUAGGAUGGUGUUACGUGCUGCUUCCUGGAGGCGGAAGAUACUGCUUCCCGACGACAUCGCUUCCCAAAUUCCCUAUCUGCAGAUGGCUGCGUGCCAGCGCUUUGGAGCACUGAUUAGAUCUGAAUGUGAGACUUCCCACAAUUCAGGGGAAACUGCGAGGUGGAGCAGGGCCUGGGGUUCCUGCUCAGGCUCGCUCCUGACAUGCGCAGGUAUCCCUAGCAGGCUGCUGCUGUUGGCAGAGGGCCCCCUAUGCCCCUCGCCUGCACUGGGCCCACAAAGUCGUAAUUCCUUCAGAUGCAGUAGGAUUUCUUUCCAUGUACCCGUGAGGGGGAGGAGGAUAUGGCUUGUCACUUUUUUUUUGCCCCCAUUCUCACGCCAAUUUUGGUGCAAUAUAACGGGCCUGCCUUGUCAAACUCAGAGGGAGUUUUGCCAUUAAUUGCAGCUCAAGCAGGCAUAUUGCUGAACGUGAUAAAAUCCAACAGAAAUCUUUAAAACUCCCCAGCUCACCUCCUUUGCUGCAGUUAAUUUUCUGUCCAUGACUUUUCUACAAAAUCCUAUACAGCUCAAACAUGCAAUUCAAGAAGCCUUACUGCCUUGACCUAAGCGCUAAGGCAUUGCACAAGCUGCCUGCCAGAUAGCACAGCCCCCGCCGUUACAGACAGGUAAUUAGGUCACCACUCGUGAACUUUUGACAUGCACAGACUUACGGCCUGAUAACAUGGAUGCCCUCAAGCAAGUCAGGGCAAUCGGCUUAUCGCCAUGAAUCUAAGGAGCAUUGAACUCUAAACAGUCAUUUAGAGUAAGAUGGCUUCGGUCCCCGUGUUUUAAUCCUACCCGAAGGCACACAGCUCGUCUAGGGGAUGUCUUGCUGGAGAUACCUGAGGGAACAGGGGGAGCAGCUGUGCUGUUGCAGUAUCAUGCAUGGGCGCUCACUUGGGUCUGCAUGGACACGUCUGCAGAGCCUGUUUUGCACGGGCUUUAGCACAUUAGGAGUCAUCUGCAUCUCUGUGGCACAACCAGCCCUCAGAGGCGAUGCAGGACCGUGACAGAAGAUGGUAGCUAAGGACCGAGCCUGGUGGAGCUGUGGUUCCAGGUGUGCACAAGAGCCUCUGCAGGAGGUGGGGAGGUGUCCAAAAAAUGUCUGCUGUCGUCUUUCGUAAGUGGAAAAUGCCGGAGAUGAUCAGCUCACCUCCCUCUCACCUUGCUUUAUUUGUGUAUUCUGCUUUUUUUUUUUUCCUCGUCCUGCAUCUCGAGGCACUUUCCCAUCGGCUCACGCUGUUAUGUCACUCUCCAGUGGGUGAACUCAGUACGACCAGGAAACACUGAAGGAAAAUGAGAUGCAGAUGUGCUGACUGCAUUCAUACUCCCCUUCACUGCAGUUGCUGCUGGAGAGCUUGGACUGUUGCUUUGACUUUGUUCCUCCGCGGAGCGCGCUCGCAUUAAAAUGUCAAUCUUAUCUGCGUUUCAGUUCAGCGUGCCUGCCCCUGCGGAACAGAUUGUUCAAUGCACUUACAUCCUCCCCAGUCGCCCUCCAAGGGGAUGACUCAGUCUGUAAUACAGCACAUCUGGUUGGGACUACAGAGGACACUGGAACCUAGCAGGGGCUUGGAUCUGCCGUUCCGUUAUGUCAUGUCUGAGCAUCGCCUGUUUGUGUGUUUUCAGAAAACCCAGAUAAAAGAAUAUGAAAGGAGAAGAGUGAAAAAAAGGUUUUCUCCAUAAAUUAAUAGUGACCUCAAAGCUCCCAUGCUGGAAAAAUUGCUGUGUGAUGCAAUGCCAGUAAAAUAGAAGCAAAUGUCACUUCACAGAAAAAGCAGUUAUAUUUCUGAUUAAUUGCUGUGUUUUUUGAGGUUUCAGUAAAAAUGGCUGCUGAUUAUUUCUGAAACUUAUGAUGACUGUCUUAGUGCAUAACCCCUUCUUAACAUCAAUUUGGCAAACAGAAAGGGAAAUAUAUCAUACGAUAUUCCGCUUGUAGGGCCAAGUUCUGUCAUCUAUCUGCUUGCAAAGCCUCUGUUGACUGCCUUGGGAUUUCUCCUUGCAGAAUGAUGGCAGGACAUGAUCCAGACCCAAUAUAAAUGUAACAUAUGAACCAGUAUAUCUUCAGAUGGAGAAAACGUGUGUGGAAUUUCCCUGUGCUAUCUUGUGCAUGCUUUAUAGGGCAACUACAUCCACAGUUAUUGAAAAGAAGCACAGACGUCUGUGGUUAGACAUCAAUGACUUGUGGGAGGGAAAAGAGGGAAACUGGAAGACUUAGAAUUUGUGCUCGAUUGGUUUACUGAGAAAUACAAGGCGAGAGAAAUGAAAACAGUUCAGAAUAGCACUGUAAAGAGGGGAAAUUGGCAUUGCUGGCAACACUGAUGAAAUGUAAUGUCCUUGCCAGGAGAGUAUAAAUUAUGGGUUUCCUGAUAGAAAAUGUUGAUGAGGCCAGUAGGGGGGAGAGUCUGAGGAAAAAUGUAUGCCUGUGGAAACUGAUUUUUAUUUUGGUGAUGACUGAAAAUAACCAUGAAGCCUGGAACUUGUAAACCUGGGAAUCCUGAAAUUAAUAACUUUUAAGAGUUAACUGUUGGAGAGUGCCAUCCCCAUGAGGACUGUUACUUGCUUUUCGGGUUUUGCAUAUCCUUGCCUACUUUAAGUGCUCAGACUCACUGCUGUCCACAUAACAUCUUGUGAAGCAGUGGUUAUCCAAGAUAGCAGCCUUCAUUUAAACAGCAGUCAAGGUGGCUGCAGGAAGUGCUGGUGGCAGCGGGGUGUUUGCUUAGUGGCUCUGCUUUGGGUAGGUUUUAUAUUGCACACAUCGCUGCACCACCUGAUUUAUGUCUGCCUUAGGUGUGCUGCGUGCCACCUCCAUCUGUCCUGUGCUAUUUUUUUCUUGUUCUCUCUUUGCAGGAAGAAAUGCGUACAACAUAGUACUGUGCUUCUGAAGAGUUUCUUGUUUAAAUCUAUACCGUGGGACACACUGGAGCUCUGGAGGUCUCUUGUCCAAACCCCUGCUCAAAGCAAGUCUAGCUUUACAGUAAGACCACACUUUCCAGGGCUGUGCUCAGGCACACUCUGAAUAUCUCCAAAGAUGGAGAUUUCAAAGUUUCGCUGGGCUGUAGGCUUGCUUCAUCAAGUAGGAUGAUCCUUCUUUAUAACAUUCAAUGCUUGGUGCUGAUCCAGAUUUUAGGCCUUUACAACAGAGGAUGCUAUUUAUCGCCUUUGGGGCAGGCUUUGGCUGCUUGAGUAGAAGCAGAUGAAGGAAGGUUUUCUUGGCCUGACAGCAAACCUCAUUGUCAGCCCCAAGAAACUUGAUCUAAAGAGUUUUCCACAAAGGCGAGCCUCAGGCUACCUGGCAGAAAGGAAGAGGCUCCUGCGGGGAAUGGUUCAGAGCACCUCUGUGAAGCUCCUCCUUUGAAAUGCCCUCCAGAAGCACUUGUCUACCCUCAGCGAUAACAGAAGAGGCAUAGGAAGAUUAGCUUCCCCUCUGCUUCCUCUGUGCACGAGUCAGUGAGCCAUCCACCAUUAAGCCUGAAAUUUGCUCCCUUUUUUUUCUUCAUCUGGACAGAAAGCUAUGGAGAUCUGGAAGGACAAGGGGGAGAAAGGUGCUGUUUAAGAGCAACGUUUCAACAGCUUGGAUUUGUAUGCAGUGAUGGUAAUGCUGCUGAGUCCCCAGCCCGUCAGCUCCUCAUCCUGUGCAUGGGUUGUGACCGUCCUUUAGCAGACUCUGGAAUUUGUUGAGAAAUAGCAGUAUUUGCAAACAGCCACUGUUUUUCAUUGCCUGGGAGCUGAAAAGUCUCUGUCUUAUAAGACAUCUUCCCUUCUAAAUUGCAAACCAAACCCGCUGCUUUUGCACUUGGUGGCUCUUCUCUUCACAUGCAGUUCUGUUGAUGGCAAGAUCUGCGCCUCGUGUUCCUGGCAGAUGGGGCAGGGCCUCCUGUCUAUUCAUUUAGGAGG
Long non-coding RNA from Oxyura jamaicensis (ruddy duck), 4702 nucleotides. RefSeq lists it as uncharacterized. Lineage: Eukaryota; Metazoa; Chordata; Aves; Anseriformes; Anatidae. The transcript has 2 exons. The record is from RefSeq and is a predicted model, not a curated record.